This 254-nucleotide ribosomal RNA is filed under the name uncultured bacterium. RNAcentral describes it as "partial 16S ribosomal RNA". It matches the Rfam family "Bacterial small subunit ribosomal RNA", at positions 524 to 776 of the family's 1533-position model. The record is from RNAcentral.
UACGUAGGCAGCGAGCGUUGUUCGGAGUUACUGGGCGUAAAGGGUGUGUAGGCGGUUGUUUAAGUUUGGUGUGAAAUCUCCCGGCUCAACUGGGAGGGUGCGCCGAAUACUGAAUGACUUGGAGUGCGGGAGAGGAAAGUGGAAUUCCUGGUGUAGCGGUGAAAUGCGUAGAUAUCAGGAGGAACACCGGUGGUGUAGACGGCUUUCUGGACCGUAACUGACGCUGAGGCACGAAAGUGUGGGGAUCAAACAGG